GAGCUUACAAUUGAUCUGACAGUUACACUGAGCUUCACUCCAGAAUAGAAUCCCUGUUUCCUGCCCCGGGGAGAAUAUUUCCUGCACAUUUCUGUCUCCUUAUGCAAGUUUCUCCCACAUCCAUG
Molecule: long non-coding RNA, 125 nt
Organism: Xenopus tropicalis (tropical clawed frog)
Lineage: Eukaryota; Metazoa; Chordata; Amphibia; Anura; Pipidae
Exons: 2
Source: RefSeq, a predicted model, not a curated record